GCGGGCAGCACAGCAUAGCUCAACUUCUUCCAUCAUGGCGGACGGAAGUGGAUCGGCCAGCGGCGAAGUCAUUUUCAAAUGACUAUUGUUCUGGAAUUGGGGCUUGCGGACAAAGUAAAAGAAAUGGGAAAACUUAAAAAAAUAAAUACAAUGCUGAACAACAUCUCCCGCUCCCAUGCAGAUGUUGUGCAGAGUGACACAGGCAGCAAUCACCUCUGGCACAUACCUUGGGUUCACUUCUUGAGCAUGCAGGAAAAUUGACCUCUAUCUGGUCUUCAGCGUCCCAAAACCACGUUCAAUUAUAGAACGUGCCCUUGCAUGAUGCCUAUUGAAGGCCACCCUCUCCUCUCCUCUGACAGGCUUCUUGAAUGGAGUGAUGAGGGCUAUGGGCUGAGAGAUACAUGGGUACCCACCAUCACCAAGGAUCAUGUAGCCUCUGGGUGGGAAAGUGGCCUGCCGAUACAGAGUGCUGUAACAGAGCGCCCUUGCAUCACGUACUGAGCCAGGAAAGCAAAUAAAAACAUCAAGAAACUUUGCCUGGUGGUCACAGACAGCCUGAAAUUGCACAGAGGGGUAGAGCUUCCGAUUUCUGUAGCACUGUGCAUCAGGUUCUCCAGGGUCUUUGAUUUGCACAUGGCACCCAUCUAUGGCACCCACUACAGAGUGGAAAGCUGCAUGGAUUCCCAGCCUCACGAAGCCAUCAGAGAUGCUCUGCAGUUCUCCGGGUUUUGGGUGCCGGAUAACUUUCGGAAGGAUUCACCGCAUUUCAUUGGCCACUCUGUGAAUUACACGGUGCACUAUAGAACGGGGCAUAGAAAAAGCACGGGACACAACACAGUAUGAUGUGCCACAGGCCAACCAAAAAAGAAAAACCAAGACUUCAAUGGUCCCUCCCCAACCAUGGGUGCUCUCGUGCUGAAUAAGUUUAAAAA
Molecule: long non-coding RNA, 932 nt
Organism: Astyanax mexicanus (Mexican tetra)
Lineage: Eukaryota; Metazoa; Chordata; Actinopteri; Characiformes; Acestrorhamphidae
Exons: 3
Source: RefSeq, a predicted model, not a curated record